Molecule: unclassified non-coding RNA, 600 nt
Filed under: Amphibalanus amphitrite
Lineage: Eukaryota; Metazoa; Arthropoda; Thecostraca; Balanomorpha; Balanidae
Description: uncharacterized LOC122367652, transcript variant X1
Source: RNAcentral
UGUUCAGGUUUUGUUAUGGAAGAGCCUGAGUGAGGGCUGCUUUGUCUAAACGACUGCAUUUGCUAUUUUCAGGUGACCGCCCCAGACGAUUUGUCAUGAUAUGUGACGCAUGUUGAACGGCAUCAGAGCUGUCCUGAUCGGGGCGCAGUGAAAUACGGUUUGCUGAACAGUGAUUGCCACUUGGACCGAUACUGAAGCCGAAAUAUUAUUGCCGGUUAUACUGACGGUGCAGUUGGCUGUAUCACCAUACUGAGUCACUGACAUUUGUACUAAAGUCGCCUAUCGUCCCGGACGAAGUGACCGCCCCAGACGAUUUGUCAUGAUAUGUGACGCAUGUUGAACGGCAUCAGAGCUGUCCUGAUCGGGGCGCAGUGAAAUACGGUUUGCUGAACAGUGAUUGCCACUUGGACCGAUACUGAAGCCGAAAUAUUAUUGCCGGUUAUACUGACGGUGCAGUUGGCUGUAUCACCAUACUGAGUCACUGACAUUUGUACUAAAGUCGCCUAUCGUCCCGGACGAAUUUUCUACGGUCAUCACGGUCCACACUGAUCGCUGCAAGGUGUCACUACUGAAUGAUCCCAAUACAUACUGACCGACUAA